This 467-nucleotide ribosomal RNA is filed under the name uncultured bacterium. RNAcentral describes it as "partial 16S ribosomal RNA". It matches the Rfam family "Bacterial small subunit ribosomal RNA", at positions 28 to 506 of the family's 1533-position model. The record is from RNAcentral.
GACGAACGCUGGCGGCGUGCUUAACACAUGCAAGUCGAACGGAAAGGCCCUGCUUUUGUGGGGUGCUCGAGUGGCGAACGGGUGAGUAACACGUGAGUAACCUGCCCUUGACUUUGGGAUAACUUCAGGAAACUGGGGCUAAUACCGGAUAGGAGCUCCUGCUGCAUGGUGGGGGUUGGAAAGUUUCGGCGGUUGGGGAUGGACUCGCGGCUUAUCAGCUUGUUGGUGGGGUAGUGGCUUACCAAGGCUUUGACGGGUAGCCGGCCUGAGAGGGUGACCGGCCACAUUGGGACUGAGAUACGGCCCAGACUCCUACGGGAGGCAGCAGUGGGGAAUAUGGCACAAUGGGCGGAAGCCUGAUGCAGCAACGCCGCGUGCGGGAUGACGGCCUUCGGGUGGUAAACCGCUUUCGCCUGUGACGAAGCGUGAGUGACGGUAAUGGGUAAAGAAGCACCGGCGAACUACGU